Molecule: ribosomal RNA, 552 nt
Filed under: uncultured Diversispora
Lineage: Eukaryota; Fungi; Glomeromycota; Glomeromycetes; Diversisporales; Diversisporaceae
Description: SSU rRNA
Rfam family: Eukaryotic small subunit ribosomal RNA
Source: RNAcentral
UUGGAGGGCAAGUCUGGUGCCAGCAGCCGCGGUAAUUCCAGCUCCAAUAGCGUAUAUUAAAGUUGUUGCAGUUAAAAAGCUCGUAGUUGAACUUCGGGGUCUACCCCAUUGGUCAGGCUUAAUUGUCUGCACUGGUAGGAUGGAUCUCUACCUUCUGAGGAACUUUCAUGCCAUUUAUUUGGUGUGAUGGGAAAUCAGGACUGUUACUUUGAAAAAAUUAGAGUGUUUAAAGCAGACUAUCGUCUGAAUACAUUAGCAUGGAAUAAUGAAAUAGGACGGACUGAUUCUAUUUCGUUGGUUUCUAGGAUCACCGUAAUGAUUAAUAGGGAUAGUUGGAGGCAUUAGUAUUCAAUUGUCAGAGGUGAAAUUCUUGGAUUUAUUGAAGACUAACUACUGCGAAAGCAUUUGCCAAGGAUGUUUUCAUUAAUCAAGAACGAAAGUUAGGGGAUCGAAGACGAUCAGAUACCGUCGUAGUCUUAACCAUAAACUAUGCCGACUAGGGAUCGGACGAAGUUAAUUUUAUAAUGACGCGUUCGGCGCCUUACGGGAAAC